AGUCGUUAAUAUAUCUAUCCUGAACCCAAAUUUCUGUUGAAAACUCUUAUAAUGAUCUGGCUUCUGAAGU
Small nucleolar RNA from Sorex fumeus (smoky shrew), 70 nucleotides. RefSeq annotates it as small nucleolar RNA SNORD50. The transcript has a single exon. NCBI's taxonomy places the organism in Eukaryota, Metazoa, Chordata, Mammalia, Eulipotyphla, Soricidae. The record is from RefSeq and is a predicted model, not a curated record.